This 468-nucleotide ribosomal RNA is filed under the name uncultured bacterium. RNAcentral's name for it is "partial 16S ribosomal RNA". It matches the Rfam family "Bacterial small subunit ribosomal RNA", at positions 28 to 507 of the family's 1533-position model. The record is from RNAcentral.
GACGAACGCUGGCGGCGUGCUUAACACAUGCAAGUCGAACGGAAAGGCCCUGCUUUUGUGGGGUGCUCGAGUGGCGAACGGGUGAGUAACACGUGAGUAACCUGCCCUUGACUUUGGGAUAACUUCAGGAAACUGGGGCUAAUACCGGAUAGGAGCUCCUGCUGCAUGGUGGGGGUUGGAAAGUUUCGGCGGUUGGGGAUGGACUCGCGGCUUAUCAGCUUGUUGGUGGGGUAGUGGCAUACCAAGGCUUGGACGGGUAGCCGGCCUGAGAGGGUGACCGGCCACAUUGGGACUGAGAUACGGCCCAGACUCCUACGGGAGGCAGCAGUGGGGAAUAUUGCACAAUGGGCGGAAGCCUGAUGCAGCAACGCCGCGUGCGGGAUGACGGCCUUCGGGUUGUAAACCGCUUUCGCCUGUGACGAAGCGUGAGUGACGGUAAUGGGUAAAGAAGCACCGGCUAACUACGUG